This is a long non-coding RNA of Alosa sapidissima (American shad), 1966 nucleotides long. RefSeq lists it as uncharacterized. NCBI's taxonomy places the organism in Eukaryota, Metazoa, Chordata, Actinopteri, Clupeiformes, Clupeidae. The record is from RefSeq and is a predicted model, not a curated record. The transcript has 2 exons.
GUAUAGGUAUGGCAGGUGUGUAUAGGUAUGGCAGGUGUGUAUAGGGAUGGCAGGUAUAGCAGGUAUGUAUAGGUAUGGCAGGUGUGUAUAGGUAUGGCAGGUGUAUAUAGGGAUGGCAGGUGUGUAUAGGUGUGUAUAGGUAUGGCAGGUGUGUAUAGGUAUGGCAGGUGUGUAUAGGGAUGGCAGGUGUGUAUAGGUGUGUAUAGGUAUGGCAGGUGUGUAUAGGGAUGGCAGGUGUGUAUAGGUGUGUAUAGGGAUGGCAGGUGUGUAUAGGGAUGGCAGGUGUGUAUAGGUGUGUAUAGGGAUGGCAGGUGUGUAUAGGCAGGUGUGUAUAGGGAUGGCCAAACAGGGAAUGUGAUUGUGUAUGUAGGGAAGUGAAACCCAUGAGAUAGUUGACGAGAUGAUAAAAGAUAUUUUGCACAAAAUACUUCCUUCCCUCACGGUAAGUGUUUGCAAAGCAGGUUGCAUGUGCCUGAGUGGUGUGUGUGAUGUUCGUCUGUGUGUGUGUGUGGGAAGGCAACACAAGUCAACCAUGUACAACAUUCAGAGUCCCUCUCAAGCGGACCCAACUGCCAUUAGCAGGGCCAGACGGCCAUCGCCAUCGUAGAGAAAGCCAUUACACCACGUCGUCAUCGUAGAGAAAGCCAUUACACGUCUGUGUUCCGUUACCUGACCAGAAGAGUUUUACAUUCAGUUCAGUAGCUUGAACAUUCUGUUGUAUUCUGAAUACGAUGGGUGGAUACGUUUACGAUCACCAGAUAACCUAGUAGUUGAACACGGGGCCCCGACUCUAAACUAACAAGCGCACUGUAGAACCCUGCGCAUAUAGAACCCAGCGCACUGUAGAACCCUGCGCACUGUAGAACCCUGCACACUGUAGAACCCAGCACACUGUAGAACCCUGCGCACUGUAGAACCCAGCACACUGUAGAACCCUGUACAUUUGUAGAACCCUGCGCACUGUAGAACCCAGCACACUGUAGAACCCUGCGCACUGUAGAACCCUGUACGUUUGUACGGUUGAUAUUUCAUGUCCUACUCUGUUGGUGUAAGAUGUGUUUUAAUGUUGCAAGCCAGAGGGUGUUUUUGAUUUGUCUUUUUAUUUAAGGAGCAGACGUUGGUCUGGUUGAAGAUUGAAUCUUUUACUGACUGUAGAGUCCAUCUCUGCUCUCACCACAAGUGGCCAUAACAGUGACCGCACCCACUCCUGUUUUAUUUUAUUUUUUAAACCAAACCAAAAAAAUCCAUUAAUGAUGUUUCAAAUAAUGUGCUGUACUUACACACUGCCUACUGACGUGCAUUUACUCUUCCUGUCAUUGAGAGUGAAUCUAAAACACUAUAAAACAAAGGCAAUCAGACAGAGUGGCAUUCCUGGCACCUGGCCAGAUGAUUGAUUGAUUAUUUGAUCUGUGAUGAUUGAUUGAUUAUUUGAUCUGUGAUACAAAUAUGUGUGGAUGUCUUGUUGUUUUGUCUAAAGGACAUUUUGCAUAGUCAAAGUCAAAGUUACUUUAUUAGCAUAAAGCAAAUGGCAUCAACAUUUGCACUUUGUUGUUGCUUUGUGCUGCCUUGCUGAACUACAGCACACGGCGUAAUAACUAGCCCUUUGGACGGUGAAGGGAGCUUGCAGACGGAGGUCCAGCUUCAGGAAAGAGGGAGUGCCAUUGGUCAGGAAAGAGGGAGUGCCAUUGGUCAUGCAGCGUGAUCUUGGGUAGAUUCCAGCAUUCCUUCUGUAUGUGCUAAACCAUAUCAAUUAUUUAUGUUCACAAACAGUCCCGUAGUUCUGUAUGUGCUUAACCAUAUCAAUUAUUUAUGUUCACAAACAGUCCCGUAGUUCUGUAUGUGCUUAACCAUAUCAACAAACGUAGUUUCAUCUUGCUCUAUUCUUAUGUUUGUCUCAGACUACUAUGUUUGUUCGGUACACUACUUAAGGAAAACAAUAAAACAAUAAAUUCUAGGAUUAAAAAUA